This 551-nucleotide transfer RNA is filed under the name Acidithiobacillus caldus. RNAcentral's name for it is "partial 16S ribosomal RNA". The record is from RNAcentral. Lineage: Bacteria; Pseudomonadati; Pseudomonadota; Acidithiobacillia; Acidithiobacillales; Acidithiobacillaceae.
AANNUAUCCCCAUACCCUCGGGGGAGAUGACCCGUUUAGGACCGGUCAUCUGGCCUUUCUUCCUCUCUUGGAAAGAACAUACCGCACAUCUUCCAAUGUACAGUGCACAACCCAAAGAUCUGCACUGCCCUCUGCCCACACCACGGACCCGCCGCGGCUCCCCCACCCCACCGUCUGGUGGAGCUGACCGGUCUCGAACCGGUGACCCCCGGCUUGCAAAACCGGUGCUCUCCCAACUGACCUACAGCCCCAUGUGGUGGGCCCAAGUGGACUCGAACCACUGACCUCACGAUUAUCAGUCGUGUGCUCUAGCCAGCUGAGCUAUGGGCCCAAGUCGCUACCGAGUGGCGUGUGUGGGGUCUAGUACCCGUUCUCUUUAAAGGAGGUGAUCCAGCCGCAGGUUCCCCUACGGCUACCUUGGAACCACUUCACCCGCAGGUUCCCCUACUGCUACCUUGUGACUACUUCAUCACAGCUCAGGCAGGUUCUUUAAGGUAAGGAGGUGAUCCAACCGCANGUUCCCCUACGGUUACCUUGUUACGACUUCANUC